UUUGUGGAGGGUUCGAUUCUGGCUCAGGAUGAACGCUGGCGGCGUGCUUAACACAUGCAAGUCGAACGGGAUCCAUCAAGCUUGCUUGGUGGUGAGAGUGGCGAACGGGUGAGUAAUGCGUGACCGACCUGCCCCAUACACCGGAAUAGCUCCUGGAAACGGGUGGUAAUGCCGGAUGCUCCAGUUGAUCGCAUGGUCUUCUGGGAAAGCUUUCGCGGUAUGGGAUGGGGUCGCGUCCUAUCAGCUUGACGGCGGGGUAACGGCCCACCGUGGCUUCGACGGGUAGCCGGCCUGAGAGGGCGACCGGCCACAUUGGGACUGAGAUACGGCCCAGACUCCUACGGGAGGCAGCAGUGGGGAAUAUUGCAC
Molecule: ribosomal RNA, 369 nt
Filed under: Bifidobacterium longum
Lineage: Bacteria; Bacillati; Actinomycetota; Actinomycetes; Bifidobacteriales; Bifidobacteriaceae
Description: bacterial SSU rRNA
Rfam family: Bacterial small subunit ribosomal RNA
Source: RNAcentral